AGAGUUUGAUCCUGGCUCAGAUUGAACGCUGGCGGCAUGCUUUACACAUGCAAGUCGAACGGCAGCGGGGGCUUCGGCCUGCCGGCGAGUGGCGAACGGGUGAGUAAUGCAUCGGAACGUGCCCAUGUCGUGGGGGAUAACGUAUCGAAAAGUACGCUAAUACCGCAUACGUCCUGAGGGAGAAAGCGGGGGAUCUUCGGACCUCGCGCGAUUGGAGCGGCCGAUGUCGGAUUAGCUAGUAGGUGAGGUAAAGGCUCACCUAGGCGACGAUCCGUAGCGGGUCUGAGAGGAUGAUCCGCCACACUGGGACUGAGACACGGCCCAGACUCCUACGGGAGGCAGCAGUGGGGAAUUUUGGACAAUGGGGGCAACCCUGAUCCAGCCAUGCCGCGUGAGUGAAGAAGGCCUUCGGGUUGUAAAGCUCUUUCGGCCGGGAAGAAAUCGUGGUCUCUAACAUAGGCCAUGGAUGACGGUACCGGACUAAGAAGCACCGGCUA
This 497-nucleotide ribosomal RNA is filed under the name uncultured bacterium. Its description in RNAcentral is "bacterial SSU rRNA". It matches the Rfam family "Bacterial small subunit ribosomal RNA", at positions 8 to 499 of the family's 1533-position model. The record is from RNAcentral.